RNAcentral lists this long non-coding RNA (227 nucleotides) under Olea europaea (common olive). RNAcentral's name for it is "long non-coding RNA (OEUR_LNC013993)". The record is from RNAcentral. Lineage: Eukaryota; Viridiplantae; Streptophyta; Magnoliopsida; Lamiales; Oleaceae.
CUCACCUUGAUCUUGUCCCCAAGAUCAACAGAAAGGAAACUGGGCCUUAAUCCAAUCAGCAUCUUCCCGUGUCACAUUUUCUGGUAGUAGAUCUGACCCGUGCAUGAGCCAUUGUUUUGCCCUGUUUUUUCUGUGCUUCACCCAUCUAGACUGCAAAAUAGAUGGGAAAAAAUGGCCUGAAUGCAAAGAUUGUUUCCCCUCCGGUAGUUGAAAUAUUGGCAUAGUAG